CCUACGGGUGGCAGCAGUGAGGAAUAUUGGUCAAUGGUCGGGAGACUGAACCAGCCAAGCCGCGUGAGGGAGGAAGGUACAGAGUAUCGUAAACCUCUUUUGUCAGGGAACAAAGGCGGGGACGUGUCCCCGGAUGAGUGUACCUGAAUAAAAAGCAUCGGCUAACUCCGUGCCAGCAGCCGCGGUAAUACGGAGGAUGCGAGCUGUGUCCGGAUGUAUUGGGUGUAAAGGGUGCGCAGGCGGUCUGUUAAGUCAGCGGUAAAAGCCCGGGGCUCAACCCCGACACGCCGUUGAAACUGGCAGUCUCGAGUUGGAGAGAGGUAUGCGGAAUGCGCGGUGUAGCGGUGAAAUGCAUAGAUAUCGCGCAGAACUGCGAUUGCGAAGGCAGCAUGCCGGCUCCACACUGACGCUGAGGCACGAAAGCGUGGGUAUCGAACAGGAUUAGAUACCCUUGUAGUC
RNAcentral lists this ribosomal RNA (459 nucleotides) under uncultured bacterium. RNAcentral describes it as "partial 16S ribosomal RNA". It matches the Rfam family "Bacterial small subunit ribosomal RNA", at positions 338 to 795 of the family's 1533-position model. The record is from RNAcentral.